This 428-nucleotide ribosomal RNA is filed under the name uncultured archaeon. Its description in RNAcentral is "bacterial SSU rRNA". It matches the Rfam family "Archaeal small subunit ribosomal RNA", at positions 474 to 903 of the family's 1478-position model. The record is from RNAcentral.
AACCAGCUCUUCAAGUGGUCGGGAUGAUUAUUGGGCUUAAAGUGUCCGUAGCCGGUUUAGUAAGUUCCUGGUAAAAUCAGGUAGCUUAACUAUCUGUAUGCUAGGAAUACUACUAUACUAGAGGGCGGGAGAGGUCUGAGGUACUACAGGGGUAGGGGUGAAAUCUUAUAAUCCUUGUAGGACCACCAGUGGCGAAGGCGUCAGACUGGAACGUGCCUGACGGUGAGGGACGAAAGCCAGGGGAGCGAACCGGAUUAGAUACCCGGGUAGUCCUGGCCGUAAACGAUGCAUACUAGGUGAUGGCCCGGCCAUGAGCCGUGUCAGUGCCGUAGGGAAACCGUUAAGUGUGCCGCCUGGGAAGUACGGUCGCAAGGCUAAAAACUUAAAGGAAUUGGCGGGGAGCACCACAAGGGUGAAGCCUGCGGUUC